RNAcentral lists this ribosomal RNA (456 nucleotides) under Veillonella parvula. RNAcentral's name for it is "bacterial SSU rRNA". It matches the Rfam family "Bacterial small subunit ribosomal RNA", at positions 28 to 461 of the family's 1533-position model. Lineage: Bacteria; Bacillati; Bacillota; Negativicutes; Veillonellales; Veillonellaceae. The record is from RNAcentral.
GACGAACGCUGGCGGCGUGCUUAACACAUGCAAGUCGAACGAAGAGCGAUGGAAGCUUGCUUCUAUCAAUCUUAGUGGCGAACGGGUGAGUAACGCGUAAUCAACCUGCCCUUCAGAGGGGGACAACAGUUGGAAACGGCUGCUAAUACCGCAUACGAUCUAAUCUCGGCAUCGAGGAUAGAUGAAAGGUGGCCUCUACAUGUAAGCUAUCACUGAAGGAGGGGAUUGCGUCUGAUUAGCUAGUUGGAGGGGUAACGGCCCACCAAGGCGAUGAUCAGUAGCCGGUCUGAGAGGAUGAACGGCCACAUUGGGACUGAGACACGGCCCAGACUCCUACGGGAGGCAGCAGUGGGGAAUCUUCCGCAAUGGACGAAAGUCUGACGGAGCAACGCCGCGUGAGUGAUGACGGCCUUCGGGUUGUAAAGCUCUGUUAAUCGGGACGAAAGGCCUUCUUGC